Small nucleolar RNA from Erpetoichthys calabaricus (reedfish), 217 nucleotides. Its record names the gene SNORA73. It matches the Rfam family "Small nucleolar RNA SNORA73 family". From Rfam's summary of the family: U17 (SNORA73A and SNORA73B) also known as E1 belongs to the H/ACA class of small nucleolar RNAs (snoRNAs). Vertebrate U17 is intron-encoded and ranges in length from 200-230 nucleotides, longer than most snoRNAs. It is one of the most abundant snoRNAs in human cells and is essential for the cleavage of pre-rRNA within the 5' external transcribed spacer (ETS). The record is from Ensembl. Lineage: Eukaryota; Metazoa; Chordata; Cladistia; Polypteriformes; Polypteridae.
CCAACGUGGACAUCCUAUGAGGUUGCUCUCAUGUGGCUCUGUCUUUAUGGUGUUAAGGAGCAUAGUGCCUGUGUGUACAAUGAUGUAUAAUCCUGUUCCAUAACGUUGGACAGCAUACUUGUCCCCAGCAUUUGUGCUGGAGAGGGCAGGGGCCUGUAUAUUCCUACAUCUAUCCAGAGUCCUCUGUCUGGGUGGAUAAACCAUGCAGGUCACAAAU